GGGCGAUUAACUCAAUUGGUAGAGUGCCACCUUUACACGGUGGAAGUUACAGGUUCAAGUCCUGUAUCGCCCACCA
This 76-nucleotide transfer RNA is filed under the name Gammaproteobacteria bacterium. RNAcentral's name for it is "tRNA-Val". It matches the Rfam family "tRNA". From Rfam's summary of the family: Transfer RNA (tRNA) molecules are approximately 80 nucleotides in length. Their secondary structure includes four short double-helical elements and three loops (D, anti-codon, and T loops). RNAcentral also lists the same sequence under 3 other names. The record is from RNAcentral. Lineage: Bacteria; Pseudomonadati; Pseudomonadota; Gammaproteobacteria.